UACGAAGGGGGCUAGCGUUGUUCGGAAUUACUGGGCGUAAAGCGCGCGCAGGCGGUCCUUCAAGUCAGAGGUGAAAGCCCAGAGCUCAACUCUGGAAUGGCCUUUGAGACUAGAGGACUUGGGUACGGGAGAGGUGAGUGGAAUUCCGAGUGUAGAGGUGAAAUUCGUAGAUAUUCGGAAGAACACCAGUGGCGAAGGCGGCUCACUGGCCCGUUACCGACGCUCAGGCGCGACAGCGUGGGGAGCGAACAGG
Molecule: ribosomal RNA, 253 nt
Filed under: uncultured bacterium
Lineage: Bacteria
Description: partial 16S ribosomal RNA
Rfam family: Bacterial small subunit ribosomal RNA
Source: RNAcentral